GACAGAGGGUGCAAACGUUGCUCGGAAUCACUGGGCGUAAAGGGCGCGUAGGCGGGGAUGUAAGUCGGGCGUGAAAUCCCCAGGCUCAACCUGUGAACUGCACUCGAAACUGCGCUUCUUGAGUAUCGGAGAGGAAAGCGGAAUUCCUGGUGUAGAGGUGAAAUUCGUAGAUAUCAGGAGGAACACCAGUGGCGAAGGCGGCUUUCUGGACGGUAACUGACGCUGAGGCGCGAAAGCGUGGGGAGCAAACGGG
Molecule: ribosomal RNA, 253 nt
Filed under: uncultured bacterium
Lineage: Bacteria
Description: partial 16S ribosomal RNA
Rfam family: Bacterial small subunit ribosomal RNA
Source: RNAcentral